This 154-nucleotide non-coding RNA is filed under the name Chloroflexia bacterium. RNAcentral describes it as "6S RNA". It matches the Rfam family "6S / SsrS RNA". Rfam says of the family: E. coli 6S RNA was the first non coding RNA to be sequenced, but its function was unknown until recently. It consists of 184 nucleotides that fold into an extended hairpin structure with a large single-stranded internal bulge. The record is from RNAcentral. Lineage: Bacteria; Bacillati; Chloroflexota; Chloroflexia.
CCGAUCCUGCGGUGCUCGUGAUGCAUUCGAUGUCUUGAGCCAACAGAAAGAGCGUCGGGAGCUGCGCGUCGGGGUGAAAAUGCCUUGGCGGUGCGGCGCCCACCUGCGAGAGCAGGUUCAAGGCUCCGAUGCACACGGCACAGGUGGGUGAGGC